RNAcentral lists this ribosomal RNA (428 nucleotides) under uncultured bacterium. Its description in RNAcentral is "bacterial SSU rRNA". It matches the Rfam family "Bacterial small subunit ribosomal RNA", at positions 355 to 775 of the family's 1533-position model. The record is from RNAcentral.
UGGGGAAUCUCGCGCAAUGCGCGAAAGCGUGACGCAGCAACGCCGCGUGGGGGAAGACGGCCUUCGGGUUGUAAACCCCUUUCAGUUGGGACGAAGCCCCGACCGUUAAUAGCGGUUCGGGGUGACGGUACCUUCAGAAGAAGCCCCGGCCAACUACGUGCCAGCAGCCGCGGUAAUACGUAGGGGGCGAGCGUUGUCCGGAAUCAUUGGGCGUAAAGAGCGUGUAGGCGGCCCGGUAAGUCCGCCGUGAAAGCCCAGGGCUCAACCCUGGGAUGCCGGUGGAAACUGCCGGGCUAGAGUCCGGAAGGGGCGAGUGGAAUUCCUGGUGUAGCGGUGAAAUGCGCAGAUAUCAGGAGGAACACCGAUGGCGAAGGCAGCUCGCUGGGACGGUACUGACGCUGAGACGCGAAAGCGUGGGGAGCAAACAG